RNAcentral lists this long non-coding RNA (780 nucleotides) under Amborella trichopoda. RNAcentral's name for it is "long non-coding RNA (ATRI_LNC002758)". Lineage: Eukaryota; Viridiplantae; Streptophyta; Magnoliopsida; Amborellales; Amborellaceae. The record is from RNAcentral.
CUGCAUCAUCUCAAACACAAGCAAAUAUAAACUAUGAGAUAAAAACUUAUUAGUUAAUAAAAUAGAUAAAAGGAUCAUUAGGUCCGUCAAUAAAACAAUAGAGUCCAAACUCAAUUUCAGUCAAUAAAACCAUAAAAACAAUAGGUCAAACAUUUUAAGUAGCAUUCAUAUAUAACCAAACCAGUUUAGGCUGCAUCGAAAUCUUAUAAGCUAUGAAUAAUCAAUAAAGAAAUGCAUUGUUGUAUCCUUUUUCUCCUUGGUUUUCUUUGUAUGUGGUGAUCUUUAUUUACAGCAAUCACCACUAAAGAAAAAUUGAUGGGGAUGAAUAAAGAAAAAUUUAAGCAAAAAGAAAAGAACAUCCAGAAUCCAUUUUUUACAAUCCAUGUCUCACAAUUUAGUAUUACAUUGACUAUGGAGAGAGAGAGAGAGAGAGAGAGAGAGAGAGAGAGAGAGAGAGAGAGAGAGAGAGUAGUAGUAGUAGUAGUACGUACGUCGUCGUCGUUCGUACGUACUAACCGUAAACCGUAACGUACGGUACGGUACGGUAGUAGUCGGUAGAGUAAACGAAACGUAAAACGNNNNNNNNNNNNNNNNNNNNNNNNAGAGAGAGAGAGAGAUAGAGAUUUGAUAUCACGUCUCCUCGGUUGACAUUUAACCCCAAAACAGGGUGACUUGGGGAUUUGCAGGUGAGAAAAAGAAACACCUCAAAGAAAGAAAAAAAAUUGCAAAAAGCUUGUAAAUCAAACAAAGAAAACCCCUCCUGCUCAAUGACUCACAUGC